Molecule: ribosomal RNA, 427 nt
Filed under: uncultured Acidobacteriota bacterium
Lineage: Bacteria; Pseudomonadati; Acidobacteriota
Description: bacterial SSU rRNA
Rfam family: Bacterial small subunit ribosomal RNA
Source: RNAcentral
AACGCGAAGAACCUUACCUGGGCUCGAAGCGUACCUGACCAUCCCGAGAAAUCGGGACUUCCCGCAAGGGACAGGUGCGGAGGUGCUGCAUGGCUGUCGUCAGCUCGUGCCGUGAGGUGUUGGGUUAAGUCCCGCAACGAGCGCAACCCUUAUCCUUAGUUGCCACCCGCAAGGGGGAACUCUAAGGGGACUGCUCCGGAUAACGGAGAGGAAGGUGGGGAUGACGUCAAGUCAGCAUGGCCUUUAUGUCCAGGGCUACACACGUGUUACAAUGCGCGCCACAAAGCGCUGCGAACCCGCGAGGGGGAGCUAAUCGCAAAAAAGCGCGCUCAGUUCGGAUUGCAGUCUGCAACUCGGCUGCAUGAAGCCGGAAUCGCUAGUAAUGGCGCAUCAGCACGGCGCCGUGAAUACGUUCCCGGGCCUUGUA